CACAGAUGUGGGUGAGCCCUUUAGAGUAUCAGAACACAGGUGUUGCAUGGCUCUCUUCCUCCCGUGUGGAGAGAGGUUGGGUAAAGUACGGCAUUGAGCGCAACCCCUGUCUUUUGUUGCCAGCAUUUUACCCCUGGGAACUCAAGGGAGACUGCCGGUGAUAAACCGGAGGAAGGUGGGGGUGACGUCAACUCAUCAUGGCCCUUACGGCCAGGGCUACACACGUGCUACAAUGGCGCGUACAGAGGGCUGCAAGCUAGCGAUAGUGAGCGAAUCCCAAAAAGCGCGUGGUAGUCCGGAUCGGAGUCUGCAAUUCGACUCCGGGAAGUCGGAAUCGUUAGUAAUCGCAACUCAGAAUGUUGCCGUGAAUACGUUCCCUGGCCUUGUACACAUCACCCGUCACACCAUGGGCAGUGGGUUGCUACGCAGAAAGUAAGUAUC
RNAcentral lists this ribosomal RNA (441 nucleotides) under Aeromonas veronii. RNAcentral's name for it is "bacterial SSU rRNA". It matches the Rfam family "Bacterial small subunit ribosomal RNA", at positions 999 to 1439 of the family's 1533-position model. Lineage: Bacteria; Pseudomonadati; Pseudomonadota; Gammaproteobacteria; Aeromonadales; Aeromonadaceae. The record is from RNAcentral.